This 300-nucleotide long non-coding RNA is filed under the name Hordeum vulgare. Its description in RNAcentral is "long non-coding RNA (HVUL_LNC002229)". The record is from RNAcentral. Lineage: Eukaryota; Viridiplantae; Streptophyta; Magnoliopsida; Poales; Poaceae.
UAAAUCCUAGCGACUGCGGGAAGGGACUAGCAUGGUUGGUGUGGCUCCCAGCUGAAUACAAAUACUCAGGCGGGACGGACGGGGGCGGCACGGCCCGCGGCGACAUACCUUCCUCGAGGCCGGCGGGCUCGGAGGCCUCGGAGUUGUGCACGGACAAGCCGCCGUGGCGACGCUCUCCCUGCGGCGGAUGGCCACGACGGCGUCGGCGGAGACGCAAUUGAUGGCGUCGAUGUAGCGCUGCCCGGUCUUGUCGACGGCGGCGAGGUGCGAGCCGGAGCCGGAGGCGGGCUGGUCGGCCCC